Molecule: long non-coding RNA, 1284 nt
Organism: Halichondria panicea
Lineage: Eukaryota; Metazoa; Porifera; Demospongiae; Suberitida; Halichondriidae
Exons: 6
Source: RefSeq, a predicted model, not a curated record
UAUUAUUAUUUAUUACAACCUCUUUACCAAAUCUACUCACCCUAUAGUACAGAAUGUGAAUGUUGGUUGAAUGAUUUCGCACUGUCUAUUGUUUAUUAAUAUUUACGACACAGAAGCAUUUUCCUUAUCAGUACAGUGUCCCUUUUCUCUGAAGGUUCUUUGUUUAUUGUUCCACUGUAUUUCACUAUUUCUCCCUCCCCUAGGUACUAUGUGGCUGAGAGUGAGGCUCUACUCUCACUGAGGAGACCUGGAGGAUGAACAGAGCAGAACAUCCACAAAGUGGUGAGUGGGUGAUGGGAUUUUUGCAUACAGUGAAAUCUUUGGUCAUUAAAGUGUAGAUUUUGACUUUUUUUAGUACUGUUGUUGGAGUGUUUCCAUGACGACUCUUAGUCUGUUCAUAUCCCGCCCCUUAAUUUUUUUAGCCACCUACCUGUACAUGUAGCUGUCUGACCAGUGGUAACUUCCUGGGAUGCUUCCCAGAAGAGUGAAAGUAAGAAAAACUAACUGUUACCACACUGUAACUACAGCUGCUGCUCUCACCAGUAUUACCAAGGCCUAUGUUCAUUACUUGUACAGCACUCAAAGUUUCUCUGUCUCUUUCUCUAACCUUGUGAGCUGCUGCUUGGCUUUCAAUAUUGUUGUACAUUGAGCGCUGAAAGCUCUUUCGACUGUGUUACUACCUGAACAGCUGUCUGAAAGAUCUCCUGCAUGGUAUUGAUCCUGGACCGUCUGUAUUUGGGGUGGUACAUCGUAUCCAUGACGACCCGACUCAUACAGACCAGCAGAUGUACUCGUGUGGUUCAUUAGCUCCCAAAAUGAGGAGAGGAGGAUGUAUAGACUCACACUAUCACACGCCGGGAGAGCCGUGGGAGAGAAUGAGGGUUCCUUCUCCUGCUGGAGAGCUGAGUAGUGUAAGUGGGUGUGGUGACCGAGUGUUCUCCCUCCUCCCCCUCUGUGCUGAGACACUACAACACAGACACUACCCUAAACACAUCAACCUCCUGGAGACACUGCUCAAACUGAGCUGUGACAAUGCCUAGUCUGCUGGAGUGGACUGUCUCACUUCACUAUGUCAGCUGCUUGGGAGAAUGAUCCUCGGAGAGAGAAUAGAACAACACGAUCCAAUGAAUCUGGACAAGUCUGACAGUAACAUGCAGUUGUAUAAUUAAAUUAUCUUAAUUGUCUUUACUACUCUUUGCUAAAUAUGUGAACAGAUGCAGUGCUACGUACACAUCUAUUGUUUUCAUUGUUCUCAAUGAAUAAUAUUACGUAUCUGAUGCUGAA